ACGUCUUGUGCUAACAGAUUCACGGCUCUCACUGGCUGUUUCACUCAGCUUCACACUUGUUCGCUCGUUUGCUACUUGUUGUGCAUUCUGGGAAAUAUCAAGCUCUGAGUUAAUCUUCGGAUCUGCACUUGUAGUGACCGAGCUUUCUCUCUGCCCAACCUUCGGAAAAGAAAUACGUCUCACUCUCUCUACUAAUUCUCAUUUCCUCUGCUUUUCUUGUGAUGCAGACUCGAUUUAUGGAAGAACUGGCAUCUGUACACUGUCGUGACUGGGAUUUGGAAGUUGCUGAACUCGGAUUCAAUAAUUUGGGAGUUUUGCGACUUUUGUGGAGGACAUACUGAUUGUUCCCAGGUAAGACUCAAUCUGCCAAUGGAAGCAGCAGUAACACCCAAGUAAGAGUUCACAUUUUACUCUCGUUCCACUUGCAUCACAAGAAUGUGGAGUCUUGUUGGUGCCCUUAACUGAUAUUAUGAGCCAUGUGAUGGACGGUUUGAUGCUGAGGCAAAUGUUGUUGUAUGUUUUAUUAUUAUUAUUAUUAUUAUUCUGCCUCGCACUGAUAAUUGAGACAACAUAGAAUGGCCUGGUGGCUAUGGCUCUCGUUUCACACAGCGAGAAUCCGGGUUCGAUUACCAGCCAGGGUAGAAACAUUGGGCGUGUUUCUUUACACCAGUUGUCUAUGUUCCCCAUCAGUAAAAUGGGUACCUGGGUGUUAGUCGACUGGUGUGGGUCGCAUCCUGGGACAAAACUGACCUAAUUUGCCCGAAAUGCUCUGCAUAACAAGUGGCUUUCUAUGCAGUAGUAUGUCAUUGAUGUCACCUAGACCUGUAUACCUUGUACAUGUACUUGCAGAAAUGAAGAUAUACUAUAUUAUAUAUUUUGUUUUAGAUGGCAGGCCUUGUGGGUUGCACAGUAAAUUGUACAGGGCUUGAGUGAGCCACAUAGUCACCAAAUUGUGCAGAUUUCGGCAGGAUAUAGGUUUCUCUUGAGGC
This is a non-coding RNA of Cherax quadricarinatus, 989 nucleotides long. The record is from RefSeq and is a predicted model, not a curated record. Lineage: Eukaryota; Metazoa; Arthropoda; Malacostraca; Decapoda; Parastacidae.